AGUGAACGCUGGCGGUAGGCCUAACACAUGCAAGUCGAACGGCAGCACAGUAAAAGCUUGCUCUUACGGGUGGCGAGUGGCGGACGGGUGAGGAAUACAUCGGAAUCUACUUUUUCGUGGGGGAUAACGUAGGGAAACUUACGCUAAUACCGCAUACGACCUACGGGUGAAAGCAGGGGAUCUUCGGACCUUGCGCGAUUGAAUGAGCCGAUGUCGGAUUAGCUAGUUGGCGGGGUAAAGGCCCACCAAGGCGACGAUCCGUAGCUGGUCUGAGAGGAUGAUCAGCCACACUGUAACUGAGACACGGUCCAGACUCCUACGGGAGGCAGCAGUGGGGAAUAUUGGACAAGGGGCGCAAGCCUGAUCCAGCCAUACCGCGUGGGUGAAGAAGGCCUUCGGGUUGUAAAGCCCUUUUGUUGGGAAAGUAAAGCAGCAGGUUAAUACCCCGCUGUUCUGACGGUACCCAAAGAAUAAGCACCGGCUAACUUCGUG
Molecule: ribosomal RNA, 492 nt
Filed under: uncultured bacterium
Lineage: Bacteria
Description: partial 16S ribosomal RNA
Rfam family: Bacterial small subunit ribosomal RNA
Source: RNAcentral